AAGUCGUAACAAGGUUUCCGUAGGUGAACCUGCGGAAGGAUCAUUAUUGAAUAAUUAUGGUGGGUUGUAGCUGGCUUCUCGAAGCAUUGUGCACACCUGCUGUCUUUAUCUAUCCCUCUGUGCACCUUUUGUAGUCCUUGGAAGAGUGUGGCAUUAGAUCCUAACGUGUGAAGUGAAGUAAUUCCUUCCUCAAGGUAGUCAACUCUUCCGGGUCUAUGUUUUUGCAUACACCUAUAUAGCAUGUUGCAGAAUGUAAUCAAUGGGCCUUUGUGCCUAUAAAACUAUAUACAACUUUCAGCAACGGAUCUCUUGGCUCUC
This 318-nucleotide unclassified non-coding RNA is filed under the name Lepiota sp. Its description in RNAcentral is "partial internal transcribed spacer region". The stretch from base 1 to 46 matches the Rfam family "Eukaryotic small subunit ribosomal RNA", at positions 1786 to 1831 of the family's 1831-position model. Lineage: Eukaryota; Fungi; Basidiomycota; Agaricomycetes; Agaricales; Agaricaceae. The record is from RNAcentral.